UAUGCCGAGCUACUGUAACCCGCUGGUGAGGGCCAUAAUCUUUGCCAACUAUUGUUCCCCGUUGGCAGGGUCUUCUUCCAAUUACUAUUACCCACUGGCGGGGGUCGUAAAGCCAAGUUACUUUUACCCACUGGCGGGGGUCAUAUGCCUAGUUACUGUUACCCACUGGCGGGGGUCGUGCAUAGCGAUCUGAGAGUUCUUAAAACAUAUCAUGCUUUUCAUAAAUCUUUUCUCAUAGAUACAUUGGAAAGUGAAUAAUGGCAUCAUGCUAAAUAAAACUCAUGAUCAUGCUGAAAACUUUAUUUUUCUAUGCAUCUUUCUACAUCAUUAUAAUCAUGUGUAUAUAAUAUAAUAUAAUAAUAAUCAUGAUCCAAAAUCAUGUAAUCAUUUGCUAACACAUGCUUGAUCCUAAUUUGGUGAAAAUAUAAAUAAUCAUAUACAAUUUCAUAAUCGAGUAGUCACAAGUAUUUGAUAAAAUAUAAGAUUAUAUCAGGGUUACUUUUUCCACAAUUUAUAUACACAAUUCCACUUGCAUAAAUAAUACUUUUCAUCUUAUAAAACGUGAUGCAUAAUCCAUAAUAAGAUUAAGACAGGUUACUUACCUUAAAUUGCUCAUCCAAAUGCCAAUUCUCCAAUACCUAGCAAGAUCAUUAAAUUACAUAUCACUUGCACAUUUAAUUUCUAUUUAUUUAUAAUCUUAAAGUCAUUUACAGCCCAUCCAUUGGACUCAAUUUCAUUUUCGGGUCCAUAACCUAGUUCCAUUUCUGGGUCAGGCCCAUGGCCUAAUUCAAUUUCUGGUUCUGGUCUAAUCUACUUUCUGGUUCGGAUUUGAUUCCAUUUCUG
Molecule: long non-coding RNA, 843 nt
Filed under: Phoenix dactylifera (date palm)
Lineage: Eukaryota; Viridiplantae; Streptophyta; Magnoliopsida; Arecales; Arecaceae
Description: long non-coding RNA (PDAC_LNC017305)
Source: RNAcentral